CAAAAGAUGGACCGGUAAACGUUGAA
Molecule: non-coding RNA, 26 nt
Filed under: Rattus norvegicus (Norway rat)
Lineage: Eukaryota; Metazoa; Chordata; Mammalia; Rodentia; Muridae
Source: RNAcentral